GCUAUUACGAAUAAGCUGGGCUAUGGCAAGUAGUAUAGGGGAUGAGAUAUGGGCAUGGAAAAGGGUGAGUGAGGAAAAAGCAUUUGGGUCUUACUCCUAUAAUUUUUUGAGUAGUGUGGAAAGAAAGGAAUAAAAGAGUUUUUGAAGGAGUGAAAGAGGAGUUUGAUAGGAUUAAGGAUAGAUGGUAUCUAAUUUUUGGGUUGUUUGGUUAUGAGUAACUAUUUACACUCUAUGGAAGAUUUUGUAACCUUGUUGAGAUCCUAAUUGAUGUGUAAAUAUCUUUUGUAUAUGAGUUGACAUCCCUUUGGUAUUUGUAAUUAAUGAGUGCUCGUUAUACUUUUUGUUUAAAAAAAAUAGUUGGAUUGGAAGUUGGUUUCUUUAAGGAAC
This 387-nucleotide long non-coding RNA is filed under the name Carica papaya (papaya). RNAcentral describes it as "long non-coding RNA (CPAP_LNC014252)". Lineage: Eukaryota; Viridiplantae; Streptophyta; Magnoliopsida; Brassicales; Caricaceae. The record is from RNAcentral.